UGGUCCGGAUAGCUCAGCUGGUAGAGCAGAGGACU
Molecule: transfer RNA, 35 nt
Filed under: Viola kusanoana
Lineage: Eukaryota; Viridiplantae; Streptophyta; Magnoliopsida; Malpighiales; Violaceae
Description: partial tRNA-Phe
Source: RNAcentral